RNAcentral lists this ribosomal RNA (400 nucleotides) under Raphanus sativus (radish). Its description in RNAcentral is "SSU rRNA". It matches the Rfam family "Eukaryotic small subunit ribosomal RNA", at positions 567 to 948 of the family's 1831-position model. Lineage: Eukaryota; Viridiplantae; Streptophyta; Magnoliopsida; Brassicales; Brassicaceae. The record is from RNAcentral.
CCAGCAGCCGCGGUAAUUCCAGCACCAAUAGCGUAUACUCAAGUUGUUGCAUUUAAAACGCUCGUAGUCGUAAACCGGGAAACAGUUGUACGGUGGUCUACCUGAUUUCGAUUAGGCUGAACCUCUACUUCUGUACUCUAUGAUGUUAGUUAUUUUCUGAUCUUAAUUGAUUGGUUAAUAAUGAUACAUUCAUUGUCCCGUGAAUAAAUGGAAGUGUUCAAAGCAAUAUUUUCAUUUAAAAUUUUAUACCUUUAAGCACGGUAUGCGACAAUAUGGAUAAUACUCUUUAUUGUUGCUAUGUCGAGAGCGUUUAUCAAUGAUCGAUAAGGAAGAUUUGAGUCAGUCAUAUGUCUCGGCGAGAGGUGAAAUUCUUAGACCCUUGACAGAUGACCCAAGGCGA